GAACGCUGGCGGCAGGCCUAACACAUGCAAGUCGAACGGAUCCUUCGGGAUUAGUGGCGGACGGGUGAGUAACACGUGGGAACGUGCCCUUUGGUUCGGAACAACUCAGGGAAACUUGAGCUAAUACCGGAUGUGCCCCUCGGGGGAAAGAUUUAUCGCCAUUGGAGCGGCCCGCGUCUGAUUAGCUAGUUGGUGAGGUAAAGGCUCACCAAGGCGACGAUCAGUAGCUGGUCUGAGAGGAUGAUCAGCCACAUUGGGACUGAGACACGGCCCAAACUCCUACGGGAGGCAGCAGUGGGAAUCUUGCGCAAUGGGCGAAAGCCUGACGCAGCCAUGCCGCGUGAAUGAUGAAGGUCUUAGGAUUGUAAAAUUCUUCACCGGGGACGAUAAUGACGGUACCCGGAGAAGAAGCCCCGGCUAACUUCGUG
This 428-nucleotide ribosomal RNA is filed under the name uncultured bacterium. Its description in RNAcentral is "bacterial SSU rRNA". It matches the Rfam family "Bacterial small subunit ribosomal RNA", at positions 31 to 507 of the family's 1533-position model. The record is from RNAcentral.